GUGCUCACUUCAUCAGCACAUGUACUAAAACUGAAAUGAUACUGAGAAGCUUUGCAUGUCCCUGCACAAGGAUGACACACAGUGCUUGAUAUAGUUUAGUUUUUUUU
Molecule: small nuclear RNA, 107 nt
Organism: Ochotona princeps (American pika)
Lineage: Eukaryota; Metazoa; Chordata; Mammalia; Lagomorpha; Ochotonidae
Source: RefSeq, a predicted model, not a curated record